This 504-nucleotide ribosomal RNA is filed under the name bacterium enrichment culture clone ALO1_GLFRUDD03GYCWS. RNAcentral describes it as "bacterial SSU rRNA". It matches the Rfam family "Bacterial small subunit ribosomal RNA", at positions 9 to 509 of the family's 1533-position model. The record is from RNAcentral.
GAGUUUGAUCAGGCUCAGAUUGAACGCUGGCGGCAGGCCUAACACAUGCAAGUCGAGCGGAUGACGGGAGCUUGCUCCUUGAUUCAGCGGCGGACGGGUGAGUAAUGCCUAGGAAUCUGCCUGGUAGUGGGGGACAACGUUUCGAAAGGAACGCUAAUACCGCAUACGUCCUACGGGAGAAAGCAGGGGACCUUCGGGCCUUGCGCUAUCAGAUGAGCCUAGGUCGGAUUAGCUAGUUGGUGGGGUAAUGGCUCACCAAGGCGACGAUCCGUAACUGGUCUGAGAGGAUGAUCAGUCACACUGGAACUGAGACACGGUCCAGACUCCUACGGGAGGCAGCAGUGGGGAAUAUUGGACAAUGGGCGAAAGCCUGAUCCAGCCAUGCCGCGUGUGUGAAGAAGGUCUUCGGAUUGUAAAGCACUUUAAGUUGGGAGGAAGGGCAGUAAGUUAAUACCUUGCUGUUUUGACGUUACCGACAGAAUAAGCACCGGCUAACUCUGUGCC